ACAUCAUUUUUCCACAAGCACUGUGCGAUUUUUUUUUGGUUGUUCUCUAUAUUUUUUUUUUGUGUUAUUAUUUUAGACACAUUAUAUUUGUCAAUACCCUUGACUUAGAUGAAGAUCAGAUCACAUUUUAUGACAAAUUUAUUUCAGAAAACCAUGAAAUUCCAAAAGGUUCACAUACUUUUUCUUGCCACUGUAUAAUAAAGUAGUGUGUGAAUAUAAGUAUAUAUUAUAUAUUGUGUGCUAUGUAUAUGCAAUACAAUGUAUACUAAACACAAUAUAACAAUCUACACAGUGGCUUAGUGGUUAGCACGUUCCCCUCACACCGCCAGGGUUGGAGGUUCGAUUCCCCCGCUGCCCUGUGUUUGUGGAGUUUGCAUUUGUGCGGAGUUUGUCCGGGUACUCUGGUUUCUUCCCCCAGUCCAAAGACCUGCAUGGUAGGCUGAUUGGCAUGUCCAAAGUGUCCAUAGUGUAUGAAUGUGUGCCCUGUGUGUGUGGAAAAGUGUGUGUGAUUGUGUACCCCGCCUUGUGCCCCAUGCUGCCUGGGAUAGGCUCCAGGUUCCCCGUGACCCUGAAAAGGAUAAGCGGUAUAGAAGAUGGAUGGAUGGAAGAGAUACAACCCAUCAAUUAGACGAAGGUCAGAAAAAAUGCCCUUGACAUUCUGUCCCCAAGCACAUCUGAAAUGAUGGCUACGCCCCUGUGUGUAUCUGCAGCUUAUUUUUCCGCAUGUUUACAUACUGUUUCCAAAAACUAAUCAACAUUUGUAACCAAAUCAAAUUUUGAUUUUGAGGCGUGUAUGAAGUGUAUAAUUUAGUACAUUAGAGAACUCUCACAAUCUCUGUCUUAUUGAAUUAUCUUCAAGAACUCAUAUAAAGUGUAUUAGAAAAGUUCUUUUCCGGUAACUUGUAAUGUUCGUCAUUUCUUCAUUCUCUUUUGGACUGUAAAUAGAUGCGUGUAAAUUUCACCCCACCUUCUGCUGUCCCUCUGUCAGUGACCACCAUCUUCACUUCACUUAAUAGGAAGAAGAGAAACUUCAACAAACUCUCCACCUGCAUCAUCAACAGUAAAACAAGUUUUCAUCAUUCUGGCGGUUUUAUUGUUGGUGAUACCCGGCGUAGUGGCAUUUAUUUGUUG
Molecule: long non-coding RNA, 1131 nt
Organism: Ictalurus punctatus (channel catfish)
Lineage: Eukaryota; Metazoa; Chordata; Actinopteri; Siluriformes; Ictaluridae
Exons: 3
Source: RefSeq, a predicted model, not a curated record